UUCACCAAUUGACUGCGAGAAAAUAAUCAUCCUUGGAGAAUGCAUAUUCAAUUAAUAGCUUUGAAAAAAAGUAUCCUAACCAAACUCCUGCAACUUUCCCCAAGAAGAACAGGAAGAGGUCACAGAAAAAAGUAAAAGGUCCACUGGAGAUUCAAUUACUUCUAGGGGUAAGAUAUCGGAACUCCUAGCUCCAGGGAUGCAAUCUAUGCCCGUGCCUGUUCUAGAUUCGAAUCAAGAUCCAGAUGGCAGAUUAUGAGAAACUUAGACAGGCAAGGAUAGAAGAAAAUAGAAUAAGAAUGAAGGAUUUGGGGGUAACAUCAAUGACUUAUGAAAUGACAGUCAAUGAAGGGAUCACAACAAACGGAAAAAAAGUAAGAUGCAUACGAAGAAGGUGAAUAAAGAUACUGACGAGUAUACACCUGAUGAAGUGGGUGAAUUGAACCACUCAAGUGUAGAGGAUGAAAAUGAGAUAAGGAAAAACGGUGUAAACUUGAGGUCUCGUUCAAAGAAGGUUUUUGCAUUGAGAGGGAAGAUUCCCGCAAACAUUAAAGACACAACAAGUGUCUCUUCAGUAGCAAUGGCAAAUAUAGUUAAGAUGUGUCAUCCUUAGCACUUGUGUACAAAGAAAGUCGUAAAUGGAAAGCAAGCGAAACAUACAAAACAUCUUAUGAGCCCACCCAAAGUAACAUUGACAAGAUGGAGGAGGUCCAAAUGCAAAGUGAAAUUGAUGGAGAUGUUGCAUACUAUGAAGUAAUGAAUAAACCAAAUAACUUAGGCCAUAGAAAAAAGCAACUGGGGAUAUGUUCAAUCAGGGAAACAACAGCAAACCAAUAAUUCUCGAUGAAUUCUUAAAGCUCUAUGAAGAUCAAAUUGUGAAAGAUAUUGUAGCAUAAUUAUUGAAGAUGCUCAAGCAAGUUGAUCCUGAAGUGUUGGAUACUUUGACUCGAUCACUUAGAAAUGUGUCAUCUAAUCCAGAACUUACAUAUCAUUUUCGCAAUGUACACUCUUUUGACCAAGAGAAAAAUCAAGUAAUAGUUAAUAUAUUCUCUUUUAGAAAGCGCUAACUAACAAUCUUGCAUUAAUUAUUGCAUUUUUUGUUCUGGUUGUUUGAUAUAUGAUGCGUUUACACAUAUGUAGGAUCCAAUGGAUCAAGUUGAAGGAUUAGAGUAACAACUAGCAAGUAAUGAUGCAACAAGAAACAUGUUUGCAUAUAUGUAGCUGCCAAUGUUUGGGGAGAUAAAUAAUACAAGAUCGACAACUCAGAUAAACUUUUUUUUUCUGGUAUCGAAAAGUUUUGGAGCAAUCUGAUGUCUGUUUACUGUUGUUGUUUGCUGCCUGCUAUGACUGUUGUUGUUUGUUGUCUGAUGUGUGUUGUUGCUGUUACCGCUAGCUGCUGUUAUCGCUAGUUGCUGUUACUGCUAGCUGCUGUUAUUACUACUAGCUGCUGCUGUUACUAUUGCAGGCUGUGUUUCUGGUGUUUGUUUGUUACUGCUGUUUUUUUGCUGCUGCUGGUUACUGGUCGCUGCUGCUGCUGCUGAUGUCUGUUUGUAACUACUGCUGACUGUUAUUUUUCUCUUUGUGUUUUAGAAUUUGGUGGUCAUGAGUCCGAAGCUGACUUUUUUUUGUACUGAGUAUUAUA
Spinacia oleracea (spinach) is the source of this 1639-nucleotide long non-coding RNA. RefSeq lists it as uncharacterized. The record is from RefSeq and is a predicted model, not a curated record. NCBI's taxonomy places the organism in Eukaryota, Viridiplantae, Streptophyta, Magnoliopsida, Caryophyllales, Amaranthaceae. The transcript has 4 exons.